Molecule: long non-coding RNA, 793 nt
Filed under: Ornithorhynchus anatinus (platypus)
Lineage: Eukaryota; Metazoa; Chordata; Mammalia; Monotremata; Ornithorhynchidae
Description: lncRNA (ENSOANG00000036281.1)
Source: RNAcentral
CCCAUAUUCUGUGAGGAUCACUGUGCUAAGAACUUUGGAGGGUGAAAUAAAGGCAGUAGACAUGAGAUCAGCCAUCAAGGAGCUUGAGAAGUAGAGGAGGAGACAGAUGCUAAAAUAAAAUUACAGAUAGGAGGAAGUAAAAGCUAAGUAUGCAAUGGGUCAAUGGCAAGAUAGAAGAGGCACAAUGGAGUAGACUGGCAUUAGAGUAAAACACUUGUAAAGGCCUACAAUGGGAGAGGUGCAAGGAUACGUAAGGGGAAUAGAGUUGACUCGGUAUUUAAAAGGUGAUUUUUCUUUAACAUCCCAGGGCUCAGAACAAAGCUCAAAUUUCAUAUUGAAGGAGACCACAAUCCGGAGUAGAUCUCCACAAGACCUCCGGGAAAAAUAAUGAUUUAUUCACACCUAUUCCUCCAAAUUUAAUAACAAUAAAAAAAACCAUCUGAAUCCUGAAAGGCAAGAUUCCAGGAACUCGUUCACGUUUCUGACCAGAGUUUCCAGUAAGAUGGGCCUCAGCCUACUGAAUGGAAAAUAUGUCAUCACUCUCUUCCCCCACGCUGGAGCGGACGGACGGAGUCUGGCUGAGAUGUGCUGCUUUCCAGGGCUGUCCAGACGCCAGAACGGUACUGAAACACAUAAGCCUAAGUCAGACGGCCCAAACCUCCCAGUGGAAAACAAGGAAUGAGAUUACUCCCACUCUUAACUCUCCCACAUCCAUCAGCCCUGAAUUCUCCCAGGGUCGUGAAGUGCAGACAGACAAACAGAUAAGCCUGGUGACCUCGCAUCAUUAUCAUCC